ACCCGCACAAGCGGUGGAUGAUGUGGUUUAAUUCGAUGCAACGCGAAAACCUUACCCACCUUUGACAUGUAUGGAAGUUUCCAGAGAUGGAUUCGUGCUCGAGAGAGAGCCAUAACACAGGUGCUGCAUGGCUGUCGUCAGCUCGUGUCGUGAGAUGUUGGGUUAAGUCCCGCAACGAGCGCAACCCUUGUCAUUAGUUGCUACAUUUGGUUGGGCACUCUAAUGAGACUGCCGGUGACAAACCGGAGGAAGGUGGGGAUGACGUCAAGUCCUCAUGGCCCUUAUAGGUGGGGCUACACACGUCAUACAAUGGCCGGUACAAAGGGUCGCAAACCCGCGAGGGGGAGCCAAUCCAUCAAAGCCGGUCGUAGUCCGGAUCGCAGUCUGCAACUCGACUGCGUGAAGUCGGAAUCGCUAGUAAUCGUGGAUCAGCAUGUCACGGUGAAUACGUUCCCGGGUCUU
Molecule: ribosomal RNA, 462 nt
Filed under: uncultured Hydrogenophaga sp.
Lineage: Bacteria; Pseudomonadati; Pseudomonadota; Betaproteobacteria; Burkholderiales; Comamonadaceae
Description: bacterial SSU rRNA
Rfam family: Bacterial small subunit ribosomal RNA
Source: RNAcentral